UCAAAAUGUUGAGGGCAAGAUUUAAUGAAGCAACAGCAAGAAAGCACAUAGACCAGAGCUCUGGGGUCGAAACUCAUGCACCUAGUAUGGUGUAGAGGAGAAUCGACCUCGAGCCAAAUUUUUCACAGGCUUAUAUAGGAAAAACUCAAGGGGGGAGAGCGGGGCAGGGAAAGUACAAGUUUGCAUAACUAAGGGGUUCUGCCAAGGGACAAGGGGUUCUGCCAAGGGAAUUCUACAUAACUAAGGGGUCAUGUCCUAUUAUUUGGCAAUGUACCCGGUUCAUUCUGAGGUUGUUCCAGGAGGCCCUUAUCUCAAAAAUGUUCUUGGAACAGUCUUUAGUUGGGAGGGUUCGAACUCUAGGGU
This 363-nucleotide long non-coding RNA is filed under the name Mus musculus (house mouse). RNAcentral describes it as "long non-coding RNA chr2:147463053-147463416". Lineage: Eukaryota; Metazoa; Chordata; Mammalia; Rodentia; Muridae. The record is from RNAcentral.